RNAcentral lists this ribosomal RNA (674 nucleotides) under uncultured bacterium. RNAcentral's name for it is "bacterial SSU rRNA". It matches the Rfam family "Bacterial small subunit ribosomal RNA", at positions 102 to 748 of the family's 1533-position model. The record is from RNAcentral.
ACGGGGGAGUAACGCGUAAUCAACCUGCCCCUCCGAGGGGGGUAACAACUGGAAACCGUUGCUAAUACCGCGUACGAUUCUCGAGCGGCAUCGCUUGUGAAUGAAAGGUGGCCUCUAUAUCUAAGCUAUCGCUGACUGAGGGGAUUGCGUCUGAUUAGCUAGGUGGAGGGGUAACGGCCCACCAAGGUAAUGAUCAGUAGCCGGUCUGAGAGGAUGAACGGCCACUUUGGGACUGAGACACGGCCCAUACUCCUACGGGAGGCAGCAGUGGGGAAUCUUCCGCAAUGGACGAAAGUCUGACGGAGCAACGACUCGAGAGUGAUGAAGGUCUUCGGAUUGCAAAGCUCUGUUAAUAGGGACGAAGGAGUUCUGUGUGAAUAAUGCAAAAAAGUGACUGUACCGAAAUACAAAGCUACCGCUAACUACGCGCCCGCAGCCACGGUUAUACGUAGGUGGCAAGCGUUGUUUGGAAGUAUUGGGCGUAAAGCGCGCGCAGGCGGCCUAUCCAGUCUGACUUACAAGUUCUGGGCUCAACCCCGAGUUGGGAUGGAAACUAUUUGGCUAGAGUAUCGGAAAGGAAAGCGUCAUUUCCGUAGCGUAGCAAUGAAAUGCAUAUAUAUUAGGAAGAACCUGGGUGAGCGAAGGGCUUUUUUCUGGGACGAAAACCGACACUG